CUUUAGGUUUUACCUGUGUGGUGCUAAACUUUGAAUGACCAGAUAGUGACUGACCAUCUUAUGUUUUUUCACUUGAAAGAUUUUUUCAAGGAAACCAAGGAGGAGAUGGAAUGGAAUAAGAAGUGAGCCGAAGGUGGAGAUUCUGAUUGCUUGGUUGAUUUGAUGGAUUCUUGGAUCUUCUAAAUGAGAUUUCAUUAAGAUUAUUACUGCCCUGGGUCCUUUGAUAAAGAUAUUGUCAAUUUACGCAAGAGCAAAUCUUUUUAAGUUUGCACCAAGAAAACAGGAACAAGGAGAAGGAGAAGAAUGAGAAGAUUAGGAUGACGGUGAUGAUGCUGAUGAUAAAAAGAGAAUGAAAGAAGGAUGACUGAAUCAUUUAGACUCGUGCAAAUGAACACAUUUCCUAAUGUUACCAAUCAGACUGGUUUUGAUUGGAAUGGCACCAUUUAAAUCCUGUUGGAGUUUUCUAUCAUUCAUCAACGCUUUUCAAGAACUUUUGUCCUAUUGUCCUGAAAUCAGAUCACUAACUCCAUAACGAUGAUGCAUAGAACGGUUUAAUUUUAUUCAAUUCUCACCUGGAACUAUCGACUCAACCAGAAUUCCUGUUGAGUAAUGAUACAACUGCUAGAUCUAUCUGAGAAUGCUGUUAUUCCUGUUGACGAAAUCUAGGAUCCAUUAUUUUCCUUAUUCAAAAAACAAUUUAUCUGUCCCAAGUAUUGAAUAUUCAGUGAUUUAAGUGAAUUGGAAGCAAUAUUGGAUUCAAUAUUGAGUCAAUACUUGCUCAAGAGUAAAGAAUUAUCAAUUCAAAUGGAUCAAAACCAGACCAAGAAUCAUGCUCAUCAAGACAAUGUCAGAAGAUUGAAAAUUAAUAUUUAUUAUUCAUCUGAAUCGAUAUAUGGAAAUCAAUUUUGGAGCAAGUCCCUGUUUAUGAUUAUAUUGAUCAGUAAAACAAAUGCAACCAACUCGAGAGCCUCAUAUUGUCCCAUCAACCUGUACCCAGUGAUGCUUCCAGCCUGGCCUUAAAAUUCAUGCUUACUCAAAGCUUCUCUGUGACUGUUGAUUUACUUCCCUCGAUUGUUUAAAUGAUGUUCAAUUGUACCAGAAAUAGAUCUAAAUUGUUGCAAUUUGAAUUGUAAAAAUGUUGGUUGGUUGAACAGAAUGAAAUGAAAAGGUUAUCAUGUAAACUGCCCAUGAAGCUGAAUUACAAACCCAAGGAGAGAGAAACGUGAAUAGGAAAGAGUUGCAAUAAUUACCUUCACAACUUAAUCAGUCCAAGUCAGUCCAAUUUUCAAUUGGCUUUAAUCAGCAAAUUGAAUAUUUCACUGAAUCAAACAACUUUCAAUCAAUACUGAUUAAAACUCAACAUAUUCAUCACUUUCCAGUUGCAACUGUUUAAUUUCUGUUCAACCGAUACAAUCGUUUCACAAAGGGAAAAAAACACCUCCUAAUCUAACCAAUUCAAUAAUACAGUUUAAUUUUUUUCUUCCCUCAAUUAAUCAAUUUGAAGAAAAAUCUUAAUGACAAUUGCCUGCAAUUAGAUUAUCUUACCUUUUCAUUCACCUGACUUAUAAUGAUUGAUUGCUUCUUUUCUUGAUAACUUGUUUCUUUUUUACCUCAAUAAUUCAUUUCUUUUCUCAUCUCAAAUAACAUUUAUAAACAUAUAUACACAUUUGUAAUAAUUGUUACUGUCUUGGUGAAGAAGAAAAGUGCAACUGUUUUGCUCCUAUUUAAGGUCAGGGUUAAUGAAUUGUUAACUUUUCUAAUUAUUAAUUGCUAAUGAAUGGUUUAAUCACAACCAGCUCUUGAAGACUGUUUACCGGGUUGAUCCAGUUAACGGUUAAACAAAGUAAUUGAUCAAUUGUCAAACUGUUAACAUUAAAUGUAAUCUUUGGAAAGGAAACAUUUUACCAAAAAUUGAAAAACGGUUAAUGAUAUAAGCCCGGUGGGAGAGUGAAAAGAGGAAAAACUGUGGGAGGAAAAGGGCAUCGGUCAGUUGGAGCCAGUUUCAUCAUUUUGGAUGGUCAAUCGUUUUCCUUUAUUUCAAUUGCCAUUGGUCGUGUUAAUCAACAAAUUGAAAGCCUUUACCAAGAAAAGAGAUUCAUCUUUAUGGCCAUUAAAUGGAUCCAUUGUUGAACUCAAAGUGUUAACCAUCAAGCUAAUACCAAUUGUUAAAUCCGAUGAUUAUCCGAUGAUGAUAAUGAGGAUGAACAGCGUUUAAAGGGUUGCUUUUCAAUUGAACCUUUUCCCAUUUCCAUUAAUCAAAAUUGAUCUAAUCUUGGACUAAUCAUCACUAAUCACAGCUUUAAUCCAUCUUCCCUUGUUGAACCGAUUAUUGAUUAACCUUUACUCUUCGCAUUACCUGUUAUUGAACAACAUUUACCAUUAUGAAUACAUUUAAAUGGGAAUUCAUCUUUUCCAUUUUCCAUCUUGAAAUGAUUAA
Molecule: non-coding RNA, 2437 nt
Organism: Tetranychus urticae (two-spotted spider mite)
Lineage: Eukaryota; Metazoa; Arthropoda; Arachnida; Trombidiformes; Tetranychidae
Source: RefSeq, a predicted model, not a curated record